This 468-nucleotide ribosomal RNA is filed under the name uncultured bacterium. RNAcentral's name for it is "partial 16S ribosomal RNA". It matches the Rfam family "Bacterial small subunit ribosomal RNA", at positions 28 to 507 of the family's 1533-position model. The record is from RNAcentral.
GACGAACGCUGGCGGCGUGCUUAACACAUGCAAGUCGAACGGAAAGGCCCUGCUUUUGUGGGGUGCUCGAGUGGCGAACGGGUGAGUAACACGUGAGUAACCUGCCCUUGACUUUGGGAUAACUUCAGGAAACUGGGGCUAAUACCGGAUAGGAGCUCCUGCUGCAUGGUGGGGGGUGGAAAGUUUCGGCGGUUGGGGAUGGACUCGCGGCUUAUCAGCUUGUUGGUGGGGUAGUGGCUAACCAAGGCUUUGACGGGUAGCCGGCCUGAGAGGGUGACCGGCCACACUGGGACUGAGAUACGGCCCAGACUCCUACGGGAGGCAGCAGUGGGGAAUAUUGCACAAUGGGCGGAAGCCUGAUGCAGCAACGCCGCGUGCGGGAUGACGGCCUUCGGGUUGUAAACCGCUUUCGCCUGUGACGAAGCGUGAGUGACGGUAAUGGGUAAAGAAGCACCGGCUAACUACGUG